UCACAUCUCAAGAUGACAGCACUGAACAGAA
RNAcentral lists this non-coding RNA (31 nucleotides) under Mus musculus (house mouse). The record is from RNAcentral. Lineage: Eukaryota; Metazoa; Chordata; Mammalia; Rodentia; Muridae.